Long non-coding RNA from Andrographis paniculata, 567 nucleotides. RefSeq lists it as uncharacterized. The record is from RefSeq and is a predicted model, not a curated record. The transcript is spliced from 3 exons. NCBI's taxonomy places the organism in Eukaryota, Viridiplantae, Streptophyta, Magnoliopsida, Lamiales, Acanthaceae.
UCAUCCCUAGCUUCAUCAAAUCACACCAUCGCCUACCCACUUCUCCACCGAUGCAAACACACCCAUCCCGUAGCCACUCUCCCUCACCCGUUUACAUCAAUUUCAAUCGUUUCUCAUAUUUUAUCACCACCGAUAGGGCUUUGGAAGCUUAAUUUUUCUCGAUAAAGAUUCAGCAGCAGCUGCGGCUCUCCGGCGGCGUAGAGUACAAACUCUUUGUUGGUAUGCCUCCCAAAAAAGUUUCUGAUCACGAGAUCUUUGCUAUAUUUUCGGAGUCUGGAACCAUAACAGAUUUUCGGAGUUUGGAACCAUAAUAAGCAAAGGUCGCUCAUCAUUAUGCCGGCAAGAGAACGGAAAAAGCUGAAGAGAAGAAAAGAAAGUAUUAAUCGAGAAGCGGGCAACUUGAAAAAAUUGCAGUGAAUACUCACACUAUGCGGACGGGUAUAUCUAGAUGGAAGAGAAAAGGAUAUAAUAUCAUUUUUUAAUAAAAAAUAUAUAUUUGAAAUUAUAUAUAAAUAUAUAUUAUAUGUGUAUUGCGUUACCUUAAUUAUUUUCAAAACUGUCAUUACA